RNAcentral lists this transfer RNA (88 nucleotides) under Eubacterium sp. RNAcentral's name for it is "tRNA-Ile". It matches the Rfam family "tRNA". From Rfam's summary of the family: Transfer RNA (tRNA) molecules are approximately 80 nucleotides in length. Lineage: Bacteria; Bacillati; Bacillota; Clostridia; Eubacteriales; Eubacteriaceae. The record is from RNAcentral.
UGGGAUGUAGCUCAACAGGUGAGAGCCACGGCCUUAUAAGCCGUAAGCCCUGACAAGGUAAAUAUGGGUUCGAUUCCCAUCAUCCCGA